Long non-coding RNA from Pyrus x bretschneideri (Chinese white pear), 2217 nucleotides. RefSeq lists it as uncharacterized. Lineage: Eukaryota; Viridiplantae; Streptophyta; Magnoliopsida; Rosales; Rosaceae. The record is from RefSeq and is a predicted model, not a curated record. The transcript has 11 exons.
CUCUUUGUUUUUACCUUCCUUGCUGUGCGAUUUUCUCCCUCUUCAUCGUUCCCUCUUUUGCUGCCAAAUCUUUGCUCUUUCUUCGCAGAAUAGUCGUUAGAAGAGAUCCUGACUUUAAUUUUAUUUUGGAUUUGGUUUCGGGUCUUCUCCGGUGUGCAACCCUUUGUUUGAUUUUAUUGGGCGUUUUGUUUCCGGUCUUCUCCGGUGACGAACCCUUUGUUGGCCAGCGUUUUGUUCUCAUCUUGCCAUCGUCGGUUUAUGAAGAGCAUGUUUGUAGGUUGAUAAAUUAUGAAAUCUAUGAAAACUGGGCAGAUUGAUAAAUUACAUACGUGCUCUUUAUUUGUAGAAUUAUGUACUUUAUUUGAUGCAUGUUUGUAGAGCCAGUUUUAAACAAAAACACCUAAAAAAUUCUCCCAGCAAGUAGUUAGCAAUAUUCCUGACUUUUCCAGUUCUGAAAACAAUUAGAUGCAUACAAAUUUAUUCCUGCUUAUUGUUGUUUUACAGCAUAACCAGCUUUUCUGUAUAGCAUGGCCUCCAAUCAUCAUUCAUUUGAAGAAAAAUGGUCAUUCCCAAAUCAUGCUAAACCAGCCUUCUUUCCUGCACAAAAAAAUGGAUUUUGCAACAGCGGUUGCAUGGGAAGCAGGGAAGCUGUUGGUGAUGGAGAGGGUGAAGGUUGCUCCACCUAAGGCCAUGGAAAUGAGGAUAAAGGUCAAAUAUACCUCAGUUUAUCAUAUUGAACUCUACUUCUGCCGAAGGCACAUUUACUUCGAGUGAAUACAUUGUUGUUCAUUCUGGCCGUCUUUCCAAAAUCAAGCCCCUUGCUCAGUUGGACAAAGUUUGCAUCCUUAGUUGUGCCAUACCAACAGGUUUGGGUUCCCCUCUCAAUGUAGCAAAACGAAAAAUUAUCCUCAGUUGUUUAUUGGCCUCGCUGCUACUAAAGGUGGAAAAAUUUCUGAGGUGCCAGAGUAUUGGGUGGAGUCGGUGGACUUGAAGCCCAAGAGGUUUGAUGAAGCUAAGGAAAAGACCAAGACAUCAACCAGUGCAGAAGCUCCUGAUAGGACUAAUUGCAGAUAGCACUACAAAUGAGCACUACAAUUUUAAGCUUGAUGUUGCAAGAGAAAAAUUCUGGACAAAGCAAAAAAUAACAUGAUGACCAAGAAAAAGAUGGUCAUUCCCAAACAAGCAAGACCAAAAGAUUGACCAGGAAAAAUCAUAAACACUGAGCAGAUGUGUGGUGCCAAGCUUCUGAUAUGAACAUGAAUAUUUUUCGUAUUUGAACGAUUUUAAUAUUGUGAACUUCUGUACAUGAAUAUAGCUUUCAUAACAUCUCUAUCUUUAUAACAACCACUUGCAAGUUUCUCUAUCUUGGUGUCCACCCUUUGCAAGUUUCUCUGUCCGAUUAUUCACCUUCGUUUUUCUUCCAGAAAAUUGCUCGAUUCAUGAACGGUGGAGGGGCUACAGAUUUCUGCCUUUUCAAUUUGAUUGAAAUCUGUUUUUUGCUUGCGUAGUCUAACGUGUUCGGGUGAUUUUUGCAUUUUUUUAGCGUAUGUGAUUUCGUUUUUUAGGUGGUUCUCAAUUGGAUUCCACAGUAAAACCCAGAAACUUAGAGUAAAAACCUUGAAACUUAAAAGGCAUGAGGCACCUCCACGCCUCCCAAUCUGCCGACGUUAGAGCGCUCACCACAUGUUCGUCAUUAAUCCUCAAACAGUCGAACCCACUUCUCUCUCCCUCUCCGUCUCCGUAUGUGUAUGCGCUGUUGCACCAUCUGUAUGUCGUUAGAAACUACUUGAGCAGCCGCGAUCUCAGAUUUUCAGUUUCUAAACAAUGACAUGAUGCGACUGUUCAAAGUGCUUUUAUCAUUAAGGAUUGUUUUGUUGCAAAAAGCAAGGCCAAUUUGUUUAGGGCUUGAAGAUUUCUACAUUCACCAGGUUUAUCUUCGACUCCAGGUACUUUGUUCCAUUAACAACUUAAAGUCAGUUGCAACCACAGAGUUUGGUUAUGAUUGGGUAAAAUAAGCUGAUUAUCUGCCUAUUUCAUGAGGAUAUCAAUAGGGACUAUCUACCCAAUCUUUUGUGUGUAAAUAGUAUGUAAAUACACAUCAAAUAUUAUCUUUUGUAUGUAAAUUUGUAAAAGAUGUGAAUAUUAGAACGAUGGCAAUAGAACUGCCAAUUCAUAUCGUUGUAAAUAGAUUUCUGUAUGUAUAUAAAUUGUAUUGCA